UAGAGUUUGAUCUUGGCUCAGGAUGAACGCUAGCGGCAGGCCUAAUACAUGCAAGUCGAGGGGCAGCACAGGUAGCAAUACUGGGUGGCGACCGGCAAACGGGUGCGGAACACGUACGUAACCUUCCUUUAAGUGGGAGAUAGCCCGAAGAAAUUCGGAUUAAUACCCCAUAAGAUUGUGGAGUGGCAUCACUCAGCAAUUAAAGAAUUUCGCUUAAAGAUGGGCGUGCGGCUGAUUAGGUAGUUGGUGAGGUAACGGCUCACCAAGCCAACGAUCAGUAACUGGCGUGAGAGCGCGACCAGUCACACGGGCACUGAGACACGGGCCCGACUCCUACGGGAGGCAGCAGUAAGGAAUAUUGGUCAAUGGACGGAAGUCUGAACCAGCCAUGCCGCGUGAAGGAUGAAGGUCCUCUGGAUUGUAAACUUCUUUUAUAUGGGAAGAAACCACUUUUUUCUAAAGGUGUUGACGGUACCAUAGGAAUAAGCACCGGCUAACUCCGUGCCAGCAGCCGCGGUAAUACGGAGGGUGCAAGCGUUAUCCGGAUUCACUGGGUUUAAAGGGUGCGUAGGCGGAUUAGUAAGUCCGUGGUGAAAUCUCCGAGCUUAACUCGGAAACUGCCGUGGAUACUAUUAAUCUUGAAUACUGUGGAGGUUAGCGGAAUAUGUCAUGUAGCGGUGAAAUGCAUAGAUAUGACAUAGAACACCAAUUGCGAAGGCAGCUGGCUACACAGAGAUUGACGCUGAGGCACGAAAGCGUGGGGAUCAAACAGGAUUAGAUACCCUGGUAGUCCACGCCCUAAACGAUGAUUACUCGACAUUUGCGAUAUACAGUAAGUGUCUGAGCGAAAGCAUUAAGUAAUCCACCUGGGAAGUACGACCGCAAGGUUGAAACUUAAACGAAUUGACGG
This 910-nucleotide ribosomal RNA is filed under the name uncultured Chitinophaga sp. RNAcentral's name for it is "bacterial SSU rRNA". It matches the Rfam family "Bacterial small subunit ribosomal RNA", at positions 1 to 916 of the family's 1533-position model. Lineage: Bacteria; Pseudomonadati; Bacteroidota; Chitinophagia; Chitinophagales; Chitinophagaceae. The record is from RNAcentral.